Molecule: ribosomal RNA, 814 nt
Filed under: Passiflora membranacea
Lineage: Eukaryota; Viridiplantae; Streptophyta; Magnoliopsida; Malpighiales; Passifloraceae
Description: eukaryotic LSU rRNA
Rfam family: 5.8S ribosomal RNA (bases 311-466)
Source: RNAcentral
ACAAGGUUUCCGUAGGUGAACCUGCGGAAGGAUCAUUGUCGAAACCUGCAAAGCAGAUACGACCCGCGAACAUGUUGUCGAAACCAGGGGUGCGUCGGGCCUUGGCACGGCGCUCCCCUGAGGGGGGCUGGGGCGGACCAGAGCGGUGGACUUGUUCCAUGCUCUGGUGCGUGCCGUCCUCCCAACGAACAAAACCCCGGCGUGAAUUGCGCCAAGGAAUCGGAAACGAAAAGAGAAGGGAGCGAGCCCCCUUUAGCGUGCCGGGAACGGAUUUCGCGAGGGUGGCCCGGUCUCUGUUCGAAAACAAAACGACUCUCGGCAACGGAUAUCUCGGCUCUCGCAUCGAUGAAGAACGUAGCGAAAUGCGAUACUUGGUGUGAAUUGCAGAAUCCCGUGAACCAUCGAGUUUUUGAACGCAAGUUGCGCCCGAAGCCUUCGGGCCGAGGGCACGCCUGCCUGGGUGUCAUGUACCGUCGCCCCAAUCCGACUCUCUUCGUGGGGGAUCGGAAGAGGGGCGGACAAUGGUCUCCCGUGCGCUCCCGCUCGCGGCUGGCCAAAACACGAGUCGUUGGCUGCAGUGCCACGGCAAGCGGUGGUUGAUAAGACCUUCGAAAAUUGCCACGGGCCAGGCCAGCAAAAGGCUCCGAGACCCUGUUACGUCCCGACAGCGACCCCAGUCAGGCGGGAUACCCGCUGAGUUUAAGCAUAUCAUAAGCGGAGGAAAGAAACUUACGAGGAUCCCCUAGUAACGGCGAGGGAACCGGGAGAGCCCAGCUUGAGAAUCGGGGCCCCGGCGUCCAAUUGUAUCUGGAAA